Long non-coding RNA from Perca fluviatilis (European perch), 629 nucleotides. RefSeq lists it as uncharacterized. The record is from RefSeq and is a predicted model, not a curated record. NCBI's taxonomy places the organism in Eukaryota, Metazoa, Chordata, Actinopteri, Perciformes, Percidae. The transcript has 3 exons.
UUCUUCUUCUGCUGCUUCCUGGCAUUCGUUCUUCUUCUGCUGUUUUCUGGCAUUCGUUUUGCCUUGAAUAAAGCCUGAAAAACGGGAGCUCUAGCAGAAGUUAAUUAUAAUGUAUCUAGAAGCUGAAAUAUAUCGUCAAGGUUGAACUAUAUUGAACAUUACACGACAUCUGUUGUAAACAAAGUUAUCUCGUGGAUUUCAGUGGAUUAAAAACCAGUCUGGCUAUCGACAAUAGCAGUGGAUGUUACCCCACAGACUGGUUUUUUUGAGGCUUCUUCUGGUCCUGGAUCCCUGAUGUUCUUUCCAUUGAAGCUGGAUUCUUCUCUGUCUGCCCUGGUGCCUGGUUCCUUGGUCCACUGCCUCAUCUAACAACGCUGCAACGGUCCCAUUGGGUGGUUUGAUAUGGACGCUAAGUAUUGAGGGGGUGGUUGGACAGUUAAAAUAUUUGAGUGCACUCAAGGGCAACUAUUUUUCUUUUGAAAGAUUUUCCUUUUGUUUUUUUGUUUCAUGAGAUCUCAAAAAUUGUGGCUGAUUUGUGAAUAUUAAUGCUGUGAGAACUGAACUAAAUAUUGAAUUUUGAAUAAGAAAAUAAGGAAAAUAAUUUUAAUAAGAACCUCAUUCAAACUUAA